RNAcentral lists this ribosomal RNA (1857 nucleotides) under human gut metagenome. Its description in RNAcentral is "bacterial LSU rRNA". It matches the Rfam family "Bacterial large subunit ribosomal RNA", at positions 643 to 2517 of the family's 2925-position model. The record is from RNAcentral.
AGGUUAAGCACUUAAGGUGUGGAGCCGUAGCGAAAGCGAGUCUUAAAUGGGCGUUUAGUUAGUUGACGUAGACCCGAAACCGGGCGACCUAUCCAUGAGCAGGUUGAAGCGAAAGUAAAAUUUCGUGGAGGACCGAACCCACGAGCGUUGAAAAGCUCGGGGAUGACUUGUGGAUAGCGGUGAAAUUCCAAUCGAGCCCGGAGAUAGCUGGUUCUCCCCGAAAUAGCUUUAGGGCUAGCCUCAAGCGUAGAGAAACGGAGGUAGAGCACUGAAUGUCCUAGGGGGUAUUGCACUUACCGAAGACUAUCAAACUCCGAAUGCCGUAUUCUUAUACUUGGGAGUCAGACUAUGGGUGAUAAGAUUCAUAGUCAAGAGGGCAACAGCCCAGAUCGUCAGCUAAGGUCCCUAAAUGUACGUUAAGUGGUAAAGGAUGUGGGAUUGCACAGACAACCAGGAUGUUGGCUUAGAAGCAGCCACUCAUUUAAAGAGUGCGUAAUAGCUCACUGGUCGAGUGAUCCUGCGCCGAAAAUUUCCGGGGCUAAAACGUACUACCGAAGCUACGGCAUCAUUAUGAUGGGUAGGGGAGCUUCGUAUGCAGGUUGAAGCAUGACCGUAAGGACAUGUGGACAGUAUACGAGUGAGAAUGUUGGCAUGAGUAGCGAGAUGUGGGUGAGAAUCCCACAGGCCGUAAACCCAAGGUUUCCAGGGGAAGGUUCGUCCGCCCUGGGUUAGUCAGGACCUAAGCCGAGGCCGAAAGGCGUAGGUGAUGGACAACAGGUUGAUAUUCCUGUACCACCAAUAACCGUUUGAGAAAUGGGAUGACACAGUAGGAUAAGCUAACCGCACUGUUGGUUAUGUGCGGGCAAGUAUUGAGGCAGUUCUAAUAGGCAAAUCCGUUAGAAUAAUGCUGGGGUACGAUGCGGAGCGAAAUUUAGUAGCGAAGUAGCUGAUUUCACACUGUCGAGAAAAGUCUCUAUCGAGGUUAAAGGUGCCUGUACCGCAAACCGACACAGGUGGGUGAGGAGAGUAUCCUAAGGCCAGCGAGAGAACUGUUGUUAAGGAACUCGGCAAAAUGACCCCGUAACUUAGGGAGAAGGGGUGCCAUCGAAAGAUGGCCGCAGAGAAUAGGCCCAAGCGACUGUUUACCAAAAACAUAGGUUUCUGCUAAGUCGCAAGACGAUGUAUAGGAGCUGACGCCUGCCCGGUGCUGGAAGGUUAAGGGGAUCUGUUAGAGCAAUCGAAGCAGUGAACUUAAGCCCCAGUAAACGGCGGCCGUAACUAUAACGGUCCUAAGGUAGCGAAAUUCCUUGUCGGGUAAGUUCCGACCCGCACGAAAGGCGUAACGAUUUGGGCACUGUCUCAACAACAGACUCGGUGAAAUUGUAAUACCGGUGAAGAUGCCGGUUACCUGCGACAGGACGGAAAGACCCCAUGGAGCUUUACUGUAGCUUGACAUUGAGUCUCGGUGCUACAUGUACAGGAUAGGUGGGAGGCUAUGAAGCAUGGACGUCAGUCUGUGUGGAGCCAUCCUUGGGAUACCACCCUUGUAGUACUGGGAUUCUAACCAGCUGCCUUGAAUCAGGUAGUGGGACACUGUCAGGUGGACAGUUUGACUGGGGCGGUCGCCUCCUAAAAAGUAACGGAGGCGCUCAAAGGUUCUCUCAGUACGGUCGGAAAUCGUGCGAAGAGUGUAAAGGCAAAAGAGAGCUUGAUUGCAAGACAUACAGGUCGAGCAAGGACGAAAGUCGGACUUAGUGAUCCGGUGGUACCGCAUGGAAGGGCCAUCGCUCAACGGAUAAAAGCUACCCUGGGGAUAACAGGCUGAUCUCCCCCAAGAGUCCACAUCGACGGGGAGGU